This 898-nucleotide ribosomal RNA is filed under the name human gut metagenome. RNAcentral's name for it is "bacterial SSU rRNA". It matches the Rfam family "Bacterial small subunit ribosomal RNA", at positions 8 to 893 of the family's 1533-position model. The record is from RNAcentral.
AGAGUUUGAUCCUGGCUCAGGAUGAACGCUGGCGGCAUGCCUAAUACAUGCAAGUCGAACGAGAGGAAGGAAAGCUUGCUUUUCUGAAUCUAGUGGCGAACGGGUGAGUAACACGUAGGUAACCUGCCCAUGUGCCCGGGAUAACUUCUGGAAACGGAUGCUAAAACCGGAUAGGUAGCAGACAAGCAUUUGACUGCUAUUAAAGUGGCCUUGGCCAUGAACAUGGAUGGACCUGCGGUGCAUUAGCUGGUUGGUGAGGUAACGGCCCACCAAGGCGACGAUCCAUAGCCGGCCUGAGAGGGUGGACGGCCACAUUGGGACUGAGACACGGCCCAAACUCCUACGGGAGGCAGCAGUAGGGAAUUUUCGUCAAUGGGGGGAACCCUGAACGAGCAAUGCCGCGUGAGUGAGGAAGGUCUUCGGAUCGUAAAGCUCUGUUGUAAGAGAAAAACGGCACUCAUAGGGAAUGAUGAGUGAGUGAUGGUAUCUUACCAGAAAGUCACGGCUAACUACGUGCCAGCAGCCGCGGUAAUACGUAGGUGGCGAGCGUUAUCCGGAAUGAUUGGGCGUAAAGGGAGCGUAGGUGGCAGAUCAAGUCUGGAGUAAAAGGCAUGGGCUCAACCCGUACUGGCUCUGGAAACUGAUCAGCUAGAGAACAGAAGAGGACGGCGGAACUCCAUGUGUAGCGGUAAAAUGCGUAGAUAUAUGGAAGAACACCGGUGGCGAAGGCGGCCGUCUGGUCUGGAUUCUGACACUGAAGCACGAAAGCGUGGGGAGCAAAUAGGAUUAGAUACCCUAGUAGUCCACGCCGUAAACGAUGAGAACUAGGUGUUGGGGGAAUAACUCAGUGCCGCAGUUAACGCAGUAAGUUCUCCGCCUGGGGAGUAUGCACGCAAGU